RNAcentral lists this transfer RNA (73 nucleotides) under Nyctibius maculosus. RNAcentral describes it as "tRNA-Asn". The record is from RNAcentral. Lineage: Eukaryota; Metazoa; Chordata; Aves; Nyctibiiformes; Nyctibiidae.
CUAGACGGGUGGGCCUCGAUCCCACAAGACACUAGUUAACAGCUAGCUGCCUAAACCAACAGGCCUCCACCUA